UGGCCGGUGGAGNNAUGUCUGGGAAACUGCCUGAUGGAGGGGGANAACUACUGGAAACGGUAGCUAAUACCGCGCACGUCGCAAGACCAAAGAGGGGGACCUUNGGGCCUCUUGCCAUCGGAUGUGCNNAGAUGGGAUUNGCUAGUAGGUGGGGUAACGGCUCACCUAGGCGACGAUCCCUAGCUGGUCUGAGAGGAUGACCAACCACACUGGAACUGAGNCNNGGUCCAACUCNCNACGGGAGGCAGCAGUGGGGAAUAUUGCACAAUGGGCGCAAGCCUGAUGCAGCCAUGCCGCGUGUAUGAAGAAGGCCUUCGGGUUGUAAAGUACUUUCAGCGGGGAGGAAGGGAGUAAAGUUAAUACCUUUGCUCAUUGACGUUACCCGCAGAAGAAGCACCGGCUAACUCCGUGCCAGCAGCCGCGGUAAUACGGAGGGUGCAAGCGUUAAUCGGAAUUACUGGGCGUAAAGCGCACGCAGGCGGUUUGUUAAGUCANAUGUGAAAUCCCCGGGCUCAACCUGGGAACUGCAUCUGAUACUGGCAAGCUUGAGUCUCGUAGAGGGGGGUAGAAUUCCAGGUGUAGCGGUGAAAUGCGUAGAGAUCUGGAGGAAUACCGGUGGCGAANGCGGCCCCCUGGACGAAGACUGACGCUCAGGUGCGAAAGCGUGGGGGAGCAAACAGGAUUU
Molecule: ribosomal RNA, 685 nt
Filed under: Escherichia sp. 1.1-11
Lineage: Bacteria; Pseudomonadati; Pseudomonadota; Gammaproteobacteria; Enterobacterales; Enterobacteriaceae
Description: partial 16S ribosomal RNA
Rfam family: Bacterial small subunit ribosomal RNA
Source: RNAcentral